Molecule: ribosomal RNA, 254 nt
Filed under: uncultured bacterium
Lineage: Bacteria
Description: partial 16S ribosomal RNA
Rfam family: Bacterial small subunit ribosomal RNA
Source: RNAcentral
UACGUAGGGGGCAAGCGUUGUCCGGAUUUAUUGGGCGUAAAGAGCUCGUAGGCGGCUUGGCAAGUCGGGUGUGAAAACUCCAGGCUCAACCUGGAGAUGCCACUCGAGACUGCUAUGGCUAGAGUCCGGUAGGGGACCACGGAAUUCCUGGUGUAGCGGUGAAAUGCACAGAUAUCAGGAGGAACACCGGUGGCGAAGGCGGUGGUCUGGGCCGGCACUGACGCUGAGGAGCGAAAGCGUGGGGAGCAAACAGG